This is a non-coding RNA of Oryctolagus cuniculus (rabbit), 309 nucleotides long. NCBI's taxonomy places the organism in Eukaryota, Metazoa, Chordata, Mammalia, Lagomorpha, Leporidae. The record is from RefSeq and is a predicted model, not a curated record.
GCCACCAGGCUGAAUGCCUGCUCUGAAUUUAAAUCGACCAGACUCAUUGACAACAGGUCUGGAGGGACUCUUUUAUCUGGAAGGAAAACUCACAGUUGGUCAAAGAGCCAAAUGAAUCGGCUUCGGGAACAGACAGCGUUCGAGGUGAGACGGGAACAGACAGCGUUCGAGGUGAGACGGGAACAGACAGCGUUCAAGGUGAGAUGGGAACAGACAGCGUUCGAGGUGAGACGGGAACAGACAGCGUUCAAGGUGAGACGGGAACAGACAGCGUUCAAGGUGAGACGGGAACAGACAGCGUUCGAGGUG